UCCCAAUCCCCUAGGAAUAUGAGAGUAAGAGGAUUGUUGCAUUCCACUCCCAAAGUCACUGUUCAUGUGGGAAGAAUGUUGCAUUCCACUCGCAUAGCCACCAUUCAUGUGGGAGCUAGAAUGCUGCAUUCCAGUCCCAUAGGCACCAUUCAUGUGGGAACUAGAAUGAUGCAUUCCACUCGCAUAGCCACCAUUCAUGCGGGAGCUAGAGUGCUGCAUUCCGCUCCCAUAGCCACCAUCGAUGUGGGAACUAGAGUGCUGCAUUCCACUCCCAUAGUCACUAUUAUCGCUGGAAAAGUUUGAGGAAUCAUGGGACAUGUGCCCAUAUUGGCCAUGGCUAUUGUGGUGACCAUAGCCCGUUUGGUACUUGUCCUUGUUGUACCAGCUAUCAUCGUCAUGGCUAUAGCCGCCUUGGCUCAUCAUC
RNAcentral lists this long non-coding RNA (424 nucleotides) under Nicotiana tabacum (common tobacco). RNAcentral describes it as "long non-coding RNA (NTAB_LNC011412)". Lineage: Eukaryota; Viridiplantae; Streptophyta; Magnoliopsida; Solanales; Solanaceae. The record is from RNAcentral.